This is a long non-coding RNA of Gossypium arboreum, 638 nucleotides long. RefSeq lists it as uncharacterized. Lineage: Eukaryota; Viridiplantae; Streptophyta; Magnoliopsida; Malvales; Malvaceae. The record is from RefSeq and is a predicted model, not a curated record. The transcript has 3 exons.
GUCAGCAAUUGAUCAAUAAUUGUAAUGGUUUUAAUGAAUUAAAGAUCUAAUUGCUUGAUACAUUUAGGGCAAAGCUACAUCGGGCAAAUGUGAAUUUUAUUUCUGAACCUAUUGAAGAUGGGACAAAUGGAGCAGUGAUAGUUCUUACAACUCCAGAUGCUCAGCGCACGAUGCUUGCUUAUCAGAACCAUUAUAAAGGCUUGUGAAGAAGCUCGCAGGGGUGGCGCACUAGUAGCAGUCACAGCAUCAGAUGUCUCCUGCAUCGAGUGACAUUAUGAUGAUUUCUGGGAUCGACUUUAAAACAAAGUAUGGAGUUGCCACCAAUCCUUUUUGUUUAGGCGUGAUCGGGUUACCCUGUGGUCGAUCAUUUUAAUAAAAUAUUUUGGUUUAUUAAAACAACAUUUUUGGUCUACGAAAAACUACAAGACGGAUUCGGGAGUCGGUUACACGCGAGGAAAGAUUAUCACCCUCGCAACGCCCAAAAUUGGUACCGUAUUGAUGGAUUAACGUCCUAAUGUUGAAAAUUUGAAAAGAUUUUAAAAUAUAAUCUUCAAAAACGUUUGGAUAACUUGAAUUGGAUAUUGAGAUUCUCUCGUUUAAAAGGAAUAAAAUAUUACGUCCAGCACGAUUGGAUACAA